This is an RNA transcript of Leptopilina boulardi, 3489 nucleotides long. It is a transcript of the gene named paramyosin, long form-like, with no coding region annotated. The record is from RefSeq and is a predicted model, not a curated record. NCBI's taxonomy places the organism in Eukaryota, Metazoa, Arthropoda, Insecta, Hymenoptera, Figitidae. The transcript has 16 exons.
GAUGCGCCAUACGAACGACGACGAGUCGCGCACUACGAGUAGGGCGCUGGUCGGCUCCGAACCCCACGAAGAAGUCACAACGAAAAAAGAAUAUAUACAAUUUUAAAUCCCCCAAAAAAAGAAACUAAAAAAAAACGAAUCAUCCCGCAGUUUAUUCAUUGAUUUAUACGCGAGUAUCUGAAAAGAACGGAGUGUUUUGUUUUCUUUUAUUUUUUGGGAACUCAAUUUUAAAAAAAAAAAAGAAAAACUAUUCUCGCCCCCCUGAUAGUGCGAGUCUAAUAAAAAUUAACCAAGAGGGAAUAAAAAAAGAGAAAAAUAAAACUUCAACUUGAAGAAAAGAAAAAUCUCGUUGAAGAAUGUCGGCUUCUGCUGUUGCAAAAACCUCCAAAUAUUCAUACCGCUCGAGCAGUGGUGGCGGAGCGGCCGAUGUUAGCAUUGAGUAUAGCGCCGACCUGAGCGCUCUCUCCAGGCUCGAGGACAAAAUUCGACUAUUACAAGACGAUCUCGAGAGUGAGAGAGAGCUACGUCAGAGGGUUGAACGUGAGCGUGCCGACUUGAGCGUGCAAGUCAUACAGCUCUCGGAGCGGCUUGAAGAAGCCGAAGGUGGCGCUGAGUCUCAGUUUGAAAUUAACAAAAAGAGGGACACAGAAUUAUUGAAGCUACGAAAGCUUUUAGAAGAUGUCCACCUCGAAAGUGAAGAGACCGCUCAUCUCUUACGCAAAAAGCAUCAGGAAGUGGUCGUUGAUUUUCAGGAUCAAAUCGACCAAAUGUCAAAGGCUCGAGCAAGAGCUGAAAAGGAAAAGGCCAAAUUCCAGCAGGAAGUAUAUGAACUUCUUGCUCAAAUCGACAAUGUUACGAAAGAGAAGAUUAUGUCAAUGAAGACAGUGGAGAAAUUAGAAAUACAUGUUUCGGAAUUAAAUGUCAAAAUUGAAGAAAUUAAUCGCACGAUCGUUGACAUUACAAGUCAUAAAACUCGAUUGUCACAAGAGAAUAUUGAAUUGACAAAAGAAGUACAAGAUUUAAAGGUGAACAUAGAGAAUGUUAUUUACUUGAAAACUCAAAUCGCUGGACAAUUGGAGGAUGCACGUCGUCGUUUAGAAGAUGAAGAACGACGUCGCUCAUUAGUUGAAGCUUCAUUACAUCAGGUUGAGAUUGAACUGGAAUCGGUUCGCGUUCAAUUGGAAGAAGAAUCGGAAGCACGUUUGGAUCUUGAACGUCAAUUAGUGAAAGCCAAUGGCGAAGUUUCCAUUUGGAGAUCCAAAUAUGAGACUGAAGCUCAAGCUCGCGCAGAAGAAGUUGAAGAAUUGCGCCGCAAAUACUGUGCUCGUAUUCAAGAACAAGAGGAGCAAAUCGAAACUCUUUUGGUUAAGAUCAACAACCUUGAAAAACAAAAGUCUCGCUUGCAAUCAGAAGUAGAGGUUCUAAUUAUUGAUCUGGAGAAGGCCAAUGGAACCGCUCGGGAGCUUCAGAAACGUGUGGAACAAAUGGAAAAGAUCAACAUUGAAAUGAAGGCCCGCCUUGACGAAACUUUGGCUAUGUAUGAACAAAGUCAACGAGACCUUCGCAAUAAACAACAGGAACUUCAACGUUGCAAUGCUGAACUUGACAAAACUCGGGAACUUAAAGAUCAACUUCUACGUGAAAAUAAGAAACUUGGAGACGAUCUUAAUGAUGCUAAGAAUCAAUUAGCUGACAUGAAUCGCAGACUACACGAACUGGAACUUGAGCUUCGUCGUCUUGAGAACGAACGAGAAGAACUGGCUGCUGCCUAUAAGGAAGCCGAGGCCGGUCGCAAAAUCGAGGAACAACGUUCACAAAGAUUGGCCGCUGAAUUAGGUCAACUUCGACACGAAACUGAGCGUCGUCUUGCUGAGAAGGAUGAAGAGAUUGACGCCAUUCGUAAGGCAACGAGUAUUGAAAUCGAACAAUUAAGCGCCCGUGUGGUGGAAGCUGAGACGAAAUUAAAGACUGAGGUACAACGUGUCAAGAAGAAGAUGCAGAUGCAAAUUACUGAAUUAGAAUUGUCAUUGGAUGUUGCAAAUAAAACCAACCUUGAUUUACAAAAGACAAUCAAAAAACAAUCUCUUACUUUAACGGAAUUGCAAGCACACUAUGAUGAAGUACAACGUCAAUUGCAAGUAACAUUAGAUCAAUUGGGCAUCAGCCAACGACGUCUUCAAUCUUUGACUGCUGAACUCGAAGAAGUUCGCGGCAAUUAUGAAUCUGCCCUUCGUGCAAAGAGAAAUGUCGAGCAGCAGUAUGAGGAAUCAGUCAGUCGAAUCAAUGAACUAACAACAAUAAACGUAAAUAUUGCAUCUUCUAAAGUUAAAUUGGAACAAGAGCUCACAGCAUUGGCGGGAGACUAUGAAGAAGUGACAAAAGAAUUGAGAGUAAGUGACGAAAGAUAUCAACGAGUACAAAACGAAUUGAAACACACUGUUGAAAUACUUCAUGAAGAACAGGAACGUAUAGUUAAAAUUGAGGCUAUUAAAAAAUCACUUGAAAUUGAAGUUAAAAAUCUUUCAAUUCGUUUAGAGGAAGUUGAAGCCAAUGCUAUCGUCGGUGGUAAACGAAUUAUUAGCAAACUUGAAGCCAGAAUUCGCGAUUUAGAAUUAGAGCUUGACGAAGAGAAACGUAGACAUUCGGAAACAGUGAAAAUACUACGUAAAAAGGAGCGCAAUAUUAAAGAGGUUAUGAUUCAAGUUGAGGAGGACUCAAAGAAUGUUGCAUUAUUGCAAGAAUGUUUAGAUAAAGCAACUCAAAAAGUAAAUAUUUACAAGAGACAACUUCAAGAACAAGAGGGUAUGUCACAACAAAGUGUAACGAGAGUUCGUAGAUUCCAACGUGAAUUAGAAGCAGCCGAAGAUCGUGCAGACACAGCUGAGAGCAACCUGACCUUAAUACGCGCGAAACACCGUAGCUUUGUAACCACAUCGUCUGUGCCUGGCUCUCAGGUUUAUCUUGUCCAAGAGACGAGGCAGGACAUUUAAUUCGCUCAUCCCUGCAAAAUCAUACCCUUGCUACUACAACUUCAUCUCCGCGAACGAAUUAAAAAAAUCGUUCUAAGGAGAGGUCUACGAAUCAAUGUAUGGACAAUUCGACAAACAAUUUCUGACUAAAAAGACGUAUUAUUUUUUCAUCGAUAUAGUAAGAAAAAAAAAACCCCCCCACAGUUGAUUCGAGGUACUUAACCAAAGAAGCGGAAACACAUCAAUAAAUGCAUUAAAAUCAUCGCAUUCAAGAUCAUCAUUUUAAUUAAAUCUGAUCGCUAAUUAUUAUCUUUUAAGAAAGUUAAAAAUAAUAAAAAAAAAAAAAAACACCCAUUCGUUCUAUUACACCUACACACAAACUUGUAUUUAAAUAAUGUUAAUUAUAUUACACACUAUUAUAGAUAGGGACCUCUACCCAUUACACAAACUCGUUGUACGACAUAAAAUAACCUGUGUCAACAUUUAAUUUAAUAAUAAACUGAAACGUGUACGUACGAAA